Molecule: long non-coding RNA, 1072 nt
Organism: Carassius carassius (crucian carp)
Lineage: Eukaryota; Metazoa; Chordata; Actinopteri; Cypriniformes; Cyprinidae
Exons: 3
Source: RefSeq, a predicted model, not a curated record
GUGCCCUGAGAAAAGAAAAAUUUAAAAGACAUAAGAUGACAGUAAAUAUACACAAUCUGACUCUGAAUACUGGGAUGAUGAGUUUUGUACCUUGGCGUUGAGCAGCAGAAACAGAGGGUGAUCUGGUGUGGCCUGAGCUCUCCACUGCAGAACAUCCGGCAUAUACAGGAACUACGAGACGAGAGACGACACAUUCACACAACACUACACUUCCAGAUCAAGCAGUGUCAUAAAGAAGUGCACCUUCACUUUACUGAAUGUGCACUUGUAGUGUACUUCAAAUAUUAGAGGUACAUUCUACUUGCAGAUAUUAUAAUAUUAAUGAAAUAAAAUAAAAUAUCAAUUUCAACUAUAAUACAUUUAAAUACAAGUAACAUGCAGUUAAGUGUCUGAAAAUAUUACUUUCAGUUCACAUUUAAGUAUAUUCUCUUAAAAUAUAAUAUUUCCAUAAUAAUUUCUCUUUUUAAAAAAUAUGCUAAAUGUACUUCUUUUUCUCCAGUGACCAGUGAAAAUGGGGUUGAUCUUUACCUGCUCAUUGUCUUCCAGCUGUGAAACAUCUCUCCCACAGGCCUGUGCAAUCCUCUUUCCUGCCACUAGGUUUCCAACUAUCAUGGAAGCAGGACCCACCUCUGAAACAAAAGAGUCAACAGGUUUGGGCAGGUUGGUGACACAGGUAUGAGGGCACAUGAGGACGUUGCAGGGGUGCAGGGCUCCCUCCAUGAAGCGCUGUUUGGUCUCUGAGAUGUGGAUGCCGCCCAGAGGAGCUUUGGGGAGUGUGUUAGCUGGCACCAGAGCCAGACAGUACACUCCCACCUGAUGGAUGCUGUCGAUAGCCUAAGAGUGAGACAGAAAGUGCUUAAGAAAAUAUGCAUCACACGGCUCAUCCACUGGAAGCUGUCCUCCUCUGAGCCGUCUGGUCUCUGUUCUGCCACCACAACUAUGCGUUCAUCACGCAGCACUGAUACAGAGAAAACCGCAAUCCUGCAAGAGAACAGCGAUGCACUCUUCAGUCUGAGCACAGAAGCACACUCAUCUCAAGUCAAGAGUAAAUGCCCUGUUGAAUUACCUUCCU